CCCCCCUUUUUUUUCCAAACAUGUCUUAAUGAUUAAUAUUUAUUAAGUCUGGCCUGCUCAAUGAUUUUUAUUAAAUAGCCGCAGUAUUUUGACUGUGCGAAGGUAGCAUAAUCAUUUGUCUUUUAAUUGAAGGCUUGUAUGAAUGGUUGGAUGAAAAAAUAGCUUUCUUUAUAUUAAAUUUUGAAUUUAAUUUUUUAGUUAAAAAGCUAAGAUUUUUUAAUGGGACGAGAAGACCCUAUAGAAUUUUAUUAUAAUUUUCUUAAUUAUUUUUAGGUAUUUUAUAAUAUUUAAUUUUAUUAUAAUUUUGUUGGGGUGACAUUGAGAUUUUUUUAACUCUCAUAAAUAACAAAUUAUUUAUUUAUAUAUUUUAGAUCCUAUUUUAUGGAUUAUUAGAUUAAAUUACCUUAGGGAUAACAGCGUAAUUUUUCUGGAGAGUUCUUAUCGAUAGGAAAGUUUGCGACCUCGAUGUUGGAUUAAAAUUAGAUUUAAGUGCAGAAGCUUAAUUUCUAGGUCUGUUCGACCUUUAAAUUUUUACAUGAUUGGUUUUUUAACCCG
Molecule: ribosomal RNA, 555 nt
Filed under: Ancyrosoma leucogrammes
Lineage: Eukaryota; Metazoa; Arthropoda; Insecta; Hemiptera; Pentatomidae
Description: partial large subunit ribosomal RNA
Rfam family: Bacterial large subunit ribosomal RNA (bases 410-555)
Source: RNAcentral